CCUACGGGAGGCUGCAGUCGAGAAUCAUGCACAAUGGGGGAAACCCUGAUGGUGCGACGCCGCGUGGGGGAAUGAAGUUCUUCGGAUUGUAAACCCCUGUCAUGUGGGAGCAAAUUAAAAAGAUAGUACCCCAAGAGGAAGAGACGGCUAACACUGUGCCAGCAGCCGCGGUAAUACAGAGGUCUCAAGCGUUGUUCGGAAUCACUUGGCGUAAUGCGUGCGUAGGCUGUUGCGUAAGUCGUGUGUGAAAGGCGCGGGCUCAACCCGCGGACGGCACAUGAUACUGCGAGACUAGAGUAAGGGAGGGGGAACCGGAAUUCUCGGUGUAGCAGUGAAAUGCAUAGAUAUCGAGAGGAACACUCGUGGCGAAGGCGGGUUGCUGGACAUUAACUGACGCUGAGGCACGAAGGCCAGGGGAGCGAAAGGGAUUAGAUACCCUUGUAGUC
RNAcentral lists this ribosomal RNA (446 nucleotides) under uncultured bacterium. RNAcentral's name for it is "partial 16S ribosomal RNA". It matches the Rfam family "Bacterial small subunit ribosomal RNA", at positions 338 to 795 of the family's 1533-position model. The record is from RNAcentral.